RNAcentral lists this long non-coding RNA (1469 nucleotides) under Anser cygnoides (Swan goose). RNAcentral's name for it is "lncRNA (ENSACDG00005003039.1)". Lineage: Eukaryota; Metazoa; Chordata; Aves; Anseriformes; Anatidae. The record is from RNAcentral.
UUUGCCUUUCUCCUGGAAGAGUGCAGACACACAUUACGCGAAACCCACAGCCUUUUGCGAGAUACACGGCUCGAAACGCUCUCGUUUAUUUAUACAGCCCCUCCACCCUCUGCUCUUCCCACCCGUCCCCAAAUUCCCUAGAAAUCCAGCUAAGGCGUGGGGAAGAAGGGAAAGCGUUUUUCUCGUGGGGGGGAAUUAUUUAUUUUCGUUUUGUUUGGGGAUUGUUUUGGUUUGUUGUUUUCUUUCUUUUUUUUUUUCUUUGCAUACAAAAAUAAGUGAAGAAGAUUUUGCAAGGUGCGGCCGGGCCGUCGAGGCCGAGCAAUCCCCGGGAGCAGCGGGAGCAGCGGGGCCGUGGCCAGGGAAUGUGGCACAGCCCCUGCUUCGGACAGAAAGACAGCCGUCCAAAGGAAAUGAGCAUCAGUUCUCAGGUAACGUGCUGUUACUCAUUGCUUUUGACAUAGAAAGAAAAUAACUUUUCUGUUCGGAUUAAAUAAUACCUGACCCUUUGGCCUUCUCGGUUUUGUAGUUUGUCGGUGACAUUUUGCACAAGCCCAAAGAUUUUUGUUUUAUUUUGGGAGAGGUGAGGAGGCAAAGUGUUGUGAGGGAGGGCACUAAAUAUGAAGUCCUUCUGAGGUCUGGUCAGUUGCAUGAGAAUAGCAGUGCUGAUUGUGUUGUACUGGAUUUUCCCAUUAAAACAUGUAAACAAUAGGAUGUUAUAGAAAGAUAGAUGUAUUUGUUAGCUGUGGUGUGUGUUUCAGUUCCCCUUGUAUUAGAAUACCAGAUAAAUUUGAAGUGGUUGCUGUAAUUUGUGGUUGGUCAAAGACAGGGCUAAAAAAAAUAGUUCUUUCUAAUUGUUUGUGGCUUUAUUAUAUUCACAAAUAUAUUUGAUGUCGUAGCAAUUAAAAAUAGUCUGUUUUGAUUAAUUUGAAGGAAAGAUACUUGUUUUUAAAGCAUGCUGGUUAAUUAAGCAAGAGUCAGUAAAUGGCAUAAAGCUAUAGAUAGGAUGCUUUCUGAUAAUAUGCAAUUCCUUGAGGUCAAAUUAGUCAUUAAGUAAAAUUUUCUGAUCAGGAAAGAGGCUAUAUUUCUAAGAGGUUGUAUACUUUGUGUGAGCUUAUUAUACACCAACAGAGAGAGGAGCUGUGUUAAAGUGUUGGACGUGCUGUUGUAUUACGGUUCAUAACUUAUUCUAUCUGGUCUGGAUUGUUUAUUUAACUCUGAUAAUUUAGACAAGAGAGAAAUGUAAAUUCCAUUUACCAAAUUGGUGUUUGUAGCAUUUAAAAAAGAGAGAGAUUAAAAAUGGCUUGAAAUCUCUAAAAUCUAUAAUGUUGCUCUGCAGCCUUUUAAAAGGCAAAAAUUCAAAUAAUAAUAUUUCCACUACCAAAAUAAUAUACAAUAUUUAAGAACAAUAGAAAUUGUUGUUAGAAGGACUUUGAAAUAAACAAUACGUUCAGAUAGAGAGUUAGGUAUUU